This 271-nucleotide long non-coding RNA is filed under the name Lathyrus oleraceus (garden pea). RNAcentral's name for it is "Pisum sativum (pea) long non-coding RNA (PSAT_LNC035446)". Lineage: Eukaryota; Viridiplantae; Streptophyta; Magnoliopsida; Fabales; Fabaceae. The record is from RNAcentral.
UGUUUUGGUAUUGUGAUGUUUGGGGUUCUUGGCUACGGUAGGUGAUGGGGCGGUUAGUGUUUUGGCUAAGGCGACUUUGGUAGGGUGAUGGUGUGGGUGCGAAGCGAUGUUCGGUCUGAGGUUGAUGGUCCAUUUGUUGGUGGUGGUAUGGGGGAUGUUCUUGGUAUUGGGGUUGGGUGAAUGGCAUGUUUUGGUUGUAUGUUUGUGUGUUUGUGGAACGGAAAGUUUGACGGAUAGGUGGUUGUGAGUAACCGGGCUGAGAAUGUUGUUG